UACGGGGGGUGCAAGCGUUGUUCGGAAUUACUGGGCGUAAAGGGUUUGUAGGUGGCCAACUAAGUCAGACGUGAAAUCCCUCAGCUUAACUGGGGAACUGCGUCUGAUACUGGUUGGCUUGAGUGCAGGAGAGGAACGCGGAAUUCCAGGUGUAGCGGUGAAAUGCGUAGAUAUCUGGAGGAACACCGGUGGCGAAGGCGGCGUUCUGGACUGCAACUGACACUGAGAAACGAAAGCCAGGGUAGCAAACGGG
This 253-nucleotide ribosomal RNA is filed under the name uncultured bacterium. Its description in RNAcentral is "partial 16S ribosomal RNA". It matches the Rfam family "Bacterial small subunit ribosomal RNA", at positions 524 to 776 of the family's 1533-position model. The record is from RNAcentral.